This 211-nucleotide transfer-messenger RNA is filed under the name Clostridiaceae bacterium. Its description in RNAcentral is "partial transfer-messenger RNA". It matches the Rfam family "transfer-messenger RNA", at positions 1 to 225 of the family's 374-position model. From Rfam's summary of the family: Bacterial tmRNA, also known as 10Sa RNA or SsrA, is named for its dual tRNA and mRNA-like properties. Its role is to liberate the mRNA from a stalled ribosome. Lineage: Bacteria; Bacillati; Bacillota; Clostridia; Eubacteriales; Clostridiaceae. The record is from RNAcentral.
GGGGGCGUAAAGGCUUCGACGGGAUGAAUGAAUUAUUGAUAGCGUGCAGAGGAUCCUCGUGGGCCUCUAAAAAAAACGAGGGAAUAAAUAUAAACGCAAAAACAAAUUUUGCUCCUUUAGCAGCGUAAGCUAGCUAAACAUCCUACCGGAAAUCACGGGGUCCGGACCAGGGUGUAAUCUACCGUGAAAACCCGAUAGUCAAAGCUUUGAG